Molecule: ribosomal RNA, 363 nt
Filed under: Triticum aestivum (bread wheat)
Lineage: Eukaryota; Viridiplantae; Streptophyta; Magnoliopsida; Poales; Poaceae
Description: partial small subunit ribosomal RNA
Source: RNAcentral
AUGAAAUUGCCCCUAAAAGAGUUGUCCUUUAAACAGGAGUGGGUAGCGAAAGCAAUGCUAAUCAGGUGUCCGGCCCCCCUCCCCGAGACCACGCCGGGUCCCGUGCUAUUCAGGAUGUUGGAGGUUGUGCCUUCAAAGGGAAGCGAGGAAGGGGACAAGGAAGCUACAGCCUUCUCAAAGGAGGUUGUCCGGAAGGGAGGAAUCGAAAAUUCCUCUCCUCCGAGGAAGAAGAGGACCGCCUCUGAAGACCCGGAGACCAUGGCCUUAAAGCGGGGGAAGAAAUCUUCGCCAGAGGGUCCUGUGCUGGGGGAUACUUCGGCCGAAUUAUGCCCUCAAGGGGAUCAGCCCUCCACUGAGCCGUAA